GCCGGAGUGGUGGAAUUGGUAGACGCAUGAGACUCAAAAUCUCACGAGGGCAACCUUGUGUCGGUUCAAGUCCGACCUUCGGCA
RNAcentral lists this transfer RNA (84 nucleotides) under Spirochaetes bacterium GWB1_36_13. Its description in RNAcentral is "tRNA-Leu". It matches the Rfam family "tRNA". From Rfam's summary of the family: Transfer RNA (tRNA) molecules are approximately 80 nucleotides in length. RNAcentral also lists the same sequence under 1 other name. The record is from RNAcentral. Lineage: Bacteria; Pseudomonadati; Spirochaetota.